UCAGUGUCAAUGUGAAACAAAAAGAACAAGGUGUACUUGCGGCAGCUUAGAGACUAACAAAUUUAUUUGAGCUUAAGUUUUCAUGGGCUAAAGCCCACUUCCUCAGAUGCAUGCAGUGGAAAAUACAAUAUAAAAAUACAUACAGAGAACAUGAAACAAUGGGUUUUAUCAUA
This is a long non-coding RNA of Dermochelys coriacea (leatherback sea turtle), 173 nucleotides long. RefSeq lists it as uncharacterized. NCBI's taxonomy places the organism in Eukaryota, Metazoa, Chordata, Testudines, Dermochelyidae. The transcript is spliced from 3 exons. The record is from RefSeq and is a predicted model, not a curated record.